GAUGAAGAACGCAGCGAAAUGCGAUAAGUAGUGUGAAUUGCAGAAUUCAGUGAAUCAUCGAAUCUUUGAACGCACAUUGCACCCCUUGGUAUUCCAUGGGGCAUGCCUGUUCGAGCGUCAUUUGUACCUUCAAGCUUUGCUUGGUGUUGGGUGUUUGUCCUGAGGGACUCGCCUUAAAGUAAUUGGCAGCCAGUGUUUUGGUUUUGAAGCGCAGCACAAGUCGCGAUUCAAAGCUAUACGCCAGCUUCCACAAGCCUUUUUCACUUUUGACCUCGGAUCAGGUAGGGAUACCCGCUGAACUUAAGCAUAUCAAUAAGCGGAGGA
RNAcentral lists this unclassified non-coding RNA (324 nucleotides) under soil metagenome. RNAcentral describes it as "partial contains 5.8S ribosomal RNA, internal transcribed spacer 2, and large subunit ribosomal RNA". The stretch from base 1 to 120 matches the Rfam family "5.8S ribosomal RNA", at positions 35 to 154 of the family's 154-position model. The record is from RNAcentral.